This 120-nucleotide ribosomal RNA is filed under the name Allium victorialis var. platyphyllum. Lineage: Eukaryota; Viridiplantae; Streptophyta; Magnoliopsida; Asparagales; Amaryllidaceae. The record is from RNAcentral.
GGGUGCGAUCAUACCAGCACUAAAGCACCGGAUCCCAUCAGAACUCCGAAGUUAAGCGUGCUUGGGCGAGAGUAGUACUAGGAUGGGUGACCUCCUAGGAAGUCCUCGUGUUGCACCCCU